CUCGGAGCGAAAAGCUCCCAUUUUAAAUAUCGCACGGUGACGUCAUCCUGGGACGUAGUCACCGCGGCGGCUCUCAAGUUCUACUUUGUUCCACAGGCUUCUCUGCUCACAGCGGCGUGCGUAAAACCCAAAGGAAAACCAAGCCCGGCCUUCCAGGUGUUUAUAACUCUGUACUUUUCCCUGUGUUGUAACGAAAGGCUAAUCGCAACCGUUUCUAGACACAAAUAUUUCUGACAGACGUUCCCAAGGUUGAGGAAGCGGGGGUGAGGAACCCCUGACCAGCCUCAGCGACGUUACAAAGCGGGCUCUCCGGACGCUGAGGAGACGGGAUUUCCCACGGGGCCGGGACUUGGACUUUUUAAGCCAUCAAAACCUGCUGCUAAGCACUCAGGCUUGGGUUUUAAGAGUGCUAGAUGAUCCAAUGAGAUGUUUCCAUAAAGAACAUGUUCCCACUCCACACCUGGCCCAGGAGAAGCUCAAAACAUGGAACUAAAAAGGAAAGUUGGUGAGAACAAUAAACUGUGACCUGUAUAUAUCAUGAGCAACAACCGAAACACAGUGGGGGCAAUUGGUGUGGAAGGAAGCAAACAGUAGAACAAAGUUGUUAGGUUGGUAAUUUUGUUUUGUUUUGCUUUUGCUUUUAAUUGCAGACAUGUAAAUACUAAAUUCUCAUAGUGUUGAAGAACUGAAAUAAAUUGAAAGAAUAACACUCCUCACCAGAUGUUCAGUGUAAAUGUUAUAUAAAAAUGUAAAUGAUUAUAGGAUGUGAGAAUGUCUUAGAGCAACAGCUAUUGAGGGAAUAUAAUUCCCUAGUCUUUUAAUAUGGGUGUGGAGUUUAUGCUAAUUUCACUAGGGUUUUUCAACUAUAUGAUCUGUGUUUAAUUUGGAAGACCUGAAAUUAACUGAUGGGUCUUUAUUUUGAAUUUUCUGCAUUGGUAUAGAUAUUAUUUAAUUUUAUUAUUUUAAAAGCAGUGUUGGAAAGGGAAAA
Molecule: long non-coding RNA, 988 nt
Filed under: Ailuropoda melanoleuca (giant panda)
Lineage: Eukaryota; Metazoa; Chordata; Mammalia; Carnivora; Ursidae
Description: lncRNA (ENSAMEG00000030101.1)
Source: RNAcentral